RNAcentral lists this small nuclear RNA (58 nucleotides) under Phaethon lepturus (White-tailed tropicbird). Its description in RNAcentral is "U2 spliceosomal RNA". It matches the Rfam family "U2 spliceosomal RNA", at positions 1 to 59 of the family's 192-position model. From Rfam's summary of the family: U2 is a small nuclear RNA (snRNA) component of the spliceosome (involved in pre-mRNA splicing). The record is from Rfam by way of RNAcentral. Lineage: Eukaryota; Metazoa; Chordata; Aves; Phaethontiformes; Phaethontidae.
CUCGCUUCUCGGCCUUCUGGCUAAGAUAAGUGUAGUAUCUGUUCUUAUCAGUUUAAUA